RNAcentral lists this transfer RNA (73 nucleotides) under Stegodyphus mimosarum. It matches the Rfam family "tRNA". From Rfam's summary of the family: Transfer RNA (tRNA) molecules are approximately 80 nucleotides in length. Their secondary structure includes four short double-helical elements and three loops (D, anti-codon, and T loops). Further hydrogen bonds mediate the characteristic L-shaped molecular structure. tRNAs have two regions of fundamental functional importance: the anti-codon, which is responsible for specific mRNA codon recognition, and the 3' end, to which the tRNAs corresponding amino acid is attached (by aminoacyl-tRNA synthetases). tRNAs cope with the degeneracy of the genetic code in two manners: having more than one tRNA (with a specific anti-codon) for a particular amino acid; and 'wobble' base-pairing, i.e. permitting non-standard base-pairing at the 3rd anti-codon position. Lineage: Eukaryota; Metazoa; Arthropoda; Arachnida; Araneae; Eresidae. The record is from Rfam by way of RNAcentral.
GCCUUCGUGGUGUCGUGGUCAGCACACUCGAUUCGUAAUCGAGAGGUCCGUGGUUCGAAUCCCGGCAAACGCG